GUGGGGAAUCUUAGACAAUGGGGGCAACCCUGAUCUAGCCAUGCCGCGUGAGUGAUGAAGGCCUUAGGGUCGUAAAGCUCUUUCGCCGGGGUAGAUAAUGACUGUACCCGGUAAAGAAACCCCGGCUAACUCCGUGCCAGCAGCCGCGGUAAUACGGAGGGGGUUAGCGUUGUUCGGAAUUACUGGGCGUAAAGCGCGCGUAGGCGGAUCGGAAAGUUGGGGGUGAAAUCCCGGGGCUCAAACCCGGAAUUGCCUUCAAAACUCCCGGUCUUGAGGUCGAGAGAGGUGAGUGGAAUUCCGAGUGUAGAGGUGAAAUUCGUAGAUAUUCGGAGGAACACCAGUGGCGAAGGCGGCUCACUGGCUCGAUACUGACGCUGAGGUGCGAAAGCGUGGGGAGCAAACAGGAUUAGAAACCCGUGUAGUCC
Molecule: ribosomal RNA, 425 nt
Filed under: uncultured bacterium
Lineage: Bacteria
Description: partial 16S ribosomal RNA
Rfam family: Bacterial small subunit ribosomal RNA
Source: RNAcentral